CUAAGUUAAAAGGAGCAAAUGCUUCACUAUGAGAUGGACCUGCGUUGUAUUAGCUAGUUGGUGAGGUAACGGCUCACCAAGGCGACGAUACAUAGCCGACCUGAGAGGGUGAUCGGCCACACUGGGACUGAGACACGGCCCAGACUCCUACGGGAGGCAGCAGUAGGGAAUCUUCGGCAAUGGACGGAAGUCUGACCGAGCAACGCCGCGUGAGUGAAGAAGGUUUUCGGAUCGUAAAGCUCUGUUGUUAGAGAAGAACGGUAAUGGGAGUGGAAAAUCC
RNAcentral lists this ribosomal RNA (280 nucleotides) under Streptococcus iniae. Its description in RNAcentral is "partial 16S ribosomal RNA". It matches the Rfam family "Bacterial small subunit ribosomal RNA", at positions 195 to 467 of the family's 1533-position model. The record is from RNAcentral. Lineage: Bacteria; Bacillati; Bacillota; Bacilli; Lactobacillales; Streptococcaceae.